This 327-nucleotide ribosomal RNA is filed under the name uncultured eukaryote. RNAcentral describes it as "partial 18S ribosomal RNA". It matches the Rfam family "Eukaryotic small subunit ribosomal RNA", at positions 1470 to 1796 of the family's 1831-position model. The record is from RNAcentral.
CCCUUAGAUGUUCUGGGCCGCACGCGCGCUACACUGACGAAUGCAACGAGCUUAUAACCUUGGCCGAAAGGUCUGGGUAAUCUCCAAAUUUCGUCGUGAUGGGGAUAGAUUAUUGCAAUUAUUAAUCUUCAACGAGGAAUGCCUAGUAAGCGCAAGUCAUCAGCUUGCGUUGAUUACGUCCCUGCCCUUUGUACACACCGCCCGUCGCUCCUACCGAUUGAAUGGUCCGGUGAAGCGUUCGGACCGUGGCCUUUGGACGGUUCGCCGUCUGUUGGCUGCGGGAAGUUCGGUAAACCUUAUCAUUUAGAGGAAGGAGAAGUCGUANCA